CUCUUAUCAAGAGCAGGCAGAGGGUAAUGGCCCGAUGAAGCCCAGCAACCGACCGUAAUACCGUUGUGAGACGGGGCGCAUUUUGCGCCGAGAUGAAAAUCUUCUAAGGCACGGUGCUAAUUCCAUCAGAAAGGUAACUUUCUGAAAGAUAAGAG
Molecule: non-coding RNA, 155 nt
Filed under: Psychrobacillus sp. FJAT-21963
Lineage: Bacteria; Bacillati; Bacillota; Bacilli; Caryophanales; Bacillaceae
Also listed under: 1 other name
Description: SAM riboswitch aptamer (S box leader)
Rfam family: SAM riboswitch aptamer (S box leader)
About the family: The SAM riboswitch is found upstream of a number of genes which code for proteins involved in methionine or cysteine biosynthesis in Gram-positive bacteria.
Source: Rfam by way of RNAcentral